UCUCCGGAACGAAUAUCUUCAAAAAAUCGCGUCAACAUAAUCAAAAGAAGACCAAAAGAACGGCUGAUUGUAACAGUGUGGACAAGGAUGGAAAUAAGCUGUGUUCAAAGGAACACAUUUGCAUGGAUACUUAUGCAAAAACGCGUCUUGCUAAAGUUUAUGGCGAGAAAUUUCGGGAAUUUCCACGGGAUCUGAAGGCGCAUGGCGAUCAAAAUAAGAAUAAUCCUCAUUAUAAUAAAUUGGA
Mycetomoellerius zeteki is the source of this 244-nucleotide long non-coding RNA. RefSeq lists it as uncharacterized. Lineage: Eukaryota; Metazoa; Arthropoda; Insecta; Hymenoptera; Formicidae. The record is from RefSeq and is a predicted model, not a curated record. The transcript is spliced from 3 exons.